Molecule: ribosomal RNA, 474 nt
Filed under: uncultured bacterium
Lineage: Bacteria
Description: bacterial SSU rRNA
Rfam family: Bacterial small subunit ribosomal RNA
Source: RNAcentral
UGCGAACUCCUACGGGAGGCAGCAGUGAGGAAUAUUGGUCAAUGGGCGAGAGCCUGAACCAGCCAAGUAGCGUGCAGGAUGACGGCCCUAUGGGUUGUAAACUGCUUUUAUACGGGGAUAAAGUUAGGGACGUGUCCCUAUUUGCAGGUACCGUAUGAAUAAGGACCGGCUAAUUCCGUGCCAGCAGCCGCGGUAAUACGGAAGGUCCGGGCGUUAUCCGGAUUUAUUGGGUUUAAAGGGAGCGUAGGCCGGAGAUUAAGCGUGUUGUGAAAUGUAGGAGCUCAACUUCUGCACUGCAGCGCGAACUGGUCUUCUUGAGUACGCACAACGUGGGCGGAAUUCGUGGUGUAGCGGUGAAAUGCUUAGAUAUCACGAAGAACUCCGAUUGCGAAGGCAGCUCACGGGAGCGCAACUGACGCUGAAGCUCGAAAGUGCGGGUAUCGAACAGGAUUAGAUACCCUAGUAGUCCAGAUG